Telopea speciosissima is the source of this 281-nucleotide long non-coding RNA. RefSeq lists it as uncharacterized. The record is from RefSeq and is a predicted model, not a curated record. NCBI's taxonomy places the organism in Eukaryota, Viridiplantae, Streptophyta, Magnoliopsida, Proteales, Proteaceae. The transcript is spliced from 3 exons.
AAAGACUUCCAUGAUUCUGAUGCUCUUUGCGUCCACCAUACCCACCAUAUCCCCUUGGUGGGGGACUCCUUCCUCUACCCCCAUAUCCCCUCCUUGGAGGACUAUAAUAUGGUGGACUGUACCUCCGCAUGAUGAAGCUGGAAAACGGAAACUACAGACAUCGCUCUCUUAUGGCGCUCUGCCAAGGGAACAGAAGGGGUAAAAUAAAAGAAGAAGAACAAAAGGGGGCAGCGUGGAAAGAAGGCAAAAUUACUGCGUAUUAUUGGCAUUCAUAAAAGAAA